Molecule: transfer RNA, 71 nt
Filed under: Camelus bactrianus (Bactrian camel)
Lineage: Eukaryota; Metazoa; Chordata; Mammalia; Artiodactyla; Camelidae
Also listed under: 2 other names
Rfam family: tRNA
About the family: Transfer RNA (tRNA) molecules are approximately 80 nucleotides in length.
Source: Rfam by way of RNAcentral
GAGGGUAUAGCUCAGUGGUAGAGCACUGCUUGGCAUGCAUGAGGUCCUGAGUUCAAUUGCCAGUCCCUCCA